RNAcentral lists this RNase P RNA (292 nucleotides) under Halobacteriovoraceae bacterium. RNAcentral describes it as "RNase P RNA component class A". It matches the Rfam family "Bacterial RNase P class A". From Rfam's summary of the family: Ribonuclease P (RNase P) is a ubiquitous endoribonuclease, found in archaea, bacteria and eukarya as well as chloroplasts and mitochondria. Its best characterised activity is the generation of mature 5'-ends of tRNAs by cleaving the 5'-leader elements of precursor-tRNAs. Lineage: Bacteria; Pseudomonadati; Bdellovibrionota; Bacteriovoracia; Bacteriovoracales; Halobacteriovoraceae. The record is from RNAcentral.
CGAGAAGAAAAGGUCUUCGCGAGGCGCAAGCUUCGAGGAAAGUCCGGACGUCAAAGAGCAGCGUAGCGGGUAACGCCCGUCCACCGCGAGGUGAGGACAAGUGCAACAGAAAGCAAGUACAGUUCGGCUGUAGUGAAACCAGGUAAACUCUACGCGACGCAAGUCCAAAUAGGCCAAUGUUUGACCCCUGCUCGGGGGAGUUGGCGGGUAGGAUGCUUGAGCGAAUUGGCAACAAUUCGCCUAGAUGAAUGAAGGCCCUCGACAGAAUCCGGCUUAUACUUCUUCUCGGCCC